GACGAACCGUACAAACGUUAUUCGGAAUCACUGGGCUUAAAGGGAGCGCAGGCGGACGGGUCAGUUUAAAGUGGAAUCCCAGGGCUCAACCCUGGACGUGCUUUGGAUACUGCCUGUCUUGAGUUCGUGAGAGGAAAGUGGAAUUCAGGGUGCAGCGGUGAAAUGCUUAGAUAUCCUGAGGAACACCAGUGACGAAAGCGACUUUCUGGCACGAAACUGACGCUGAGGCUCGAAAGCAUGGGUAGCGAACGGGAUUAGAUACCCUUGUAGU
Molecule: ribosomal RNA, 271 nt
Filed under: uncultured bacterium
Lineage: Bacteria
Description: partial 16S ribosomal RNA
Rfam family: Bacterial small subunit ribosomal RNA
Source: RNAcentral